Molecule: ribosomal RNA, 1126 nt
Filed under: Klebsiella pneumoniae
Lineage: Bacteria; Pseudomonadati; Pseudomonadota; Gammaproteobacteria; Enterobacterales; Enterobacteriaceae
Description: bacterial SSU rRNA
Rfam family: Bacterial small subunit ribosomal RNA
Source: RNAcentral
AGAGUUUGAUCAUGGCUCAGAUUGAACGCUGGCGGCAGGCCUAACACAUGCAAGUCGAGCGGUAGCACAGAGAGCUUGCUCUCGGGUGACGAGCGGCGGACGGGUGAGUAAUGUCUGGGAAACUGCCUGAUGGAGGGGGAUAACUACUGGAAACGGUAGCUAAUACCGCAUAACGUCGCAAGACCAAAGUGGGGGACCUUCGGGCCUCAUGCCAUCAGAUGUGCCCAGAUGGGAUUAGCUAGUAGGUGGGGUAACGGCUCACCUAGGCGACGAUCCCUAGCUGGUCUGAGAGGAUGACCAGCCACACUGGAACUGAGACACGGUCCAGACUCCUACGGGAGGCAGCAGUGGGGAAUAUUGCACAAUGGGCGCAAGCCUGAUGCAGCCAUGCCGCGUGUGUGAAGAAGGCCUUCGGGUUGUAAAGCACUUUCAGCGGGGAGGAAGGCGAUGAGGUUAAUAACCUCAUCGAUUGACGUUACCCGCAGAAGAAGCACCGGCUAACUCCGUGCCAGCAGCCGCGGUAAUACGGAGGGUGCAAGCGUUAAUCGGAAUUACUGGGCGUAAAGCGCACGCAGGCGGUCUGUCAAGUCGGAUGUGAAAUCCCCGGGCUCAACCUGGGAACUGCAUUCGAAACUGGCAGGCUAGAGUCUUGUAGAGGGGGGUAGAAUUCCAGGUGUAGCGGUGAAAUGCGUAGAGAUCUGGAGGAAUACCGGUGGCGAAGGCGGCCCCCUGGACAAAGACUGACGCUCAGGUGCGAAAGCGUGGGGAGCAAACAGGAUUAGAUACCCUGGUAGUCCACGCCGUAAACGAUGUCGAUUUGGAGGUUGUGCCCUUGAGGCGUGGCUUCCGGAGCUAACGCGUUAAAUCGACCGCCUGGGGAGUACGGCCGCAAGGUUAAAACUCAAAUGAAUUGACGGGGGCCCGCACAAGCGGUGGAGCAUGUGGUUUAAUUCGAUGCAACGCGAAGAACCUUACCUGGUCUUGACAUCCACAGAACUUUCCAGAGAUGGAUUGGUGCCUUCGGGAACUGUGAGACAGGUGCUGCAUGGCUGUCGUCAGCUCGUGUUGUGAAAUGUUGGGUUAAGUCCCGCAACGAGCGCAACCCUUAUCCUUUGUUGCCAGCGGU